CAGUAGCCGCGGGAAUACGGAGGAUCCAAGCGUUAUCCGGAAUCAUUGGGUUUAAAGGGUCCGUAGGCGGUUUAGUAAGUCAGUGGUGAAAGCCCAUCGCUCAACGGUGGAACGGCCAUUGAUACUGCUGAACUUGAAUUAUUAGGAAGUAACUAGAAUAUGUAGUGUAGCGGUGAAAUGCUUAGAGAUUACAUGGAAUACCAAUUGCGAAGGCAGGUUACUACUAAUUGAUUGACGCUGAUGGACGAAAGCGUGGGGAGCGAACAGGAUUAGAUACCCCAGUAGUCCCUGUCUCUUAUAC
RNAcentral lists this ribosomal RNA (301 nucleotides) under uncultured bacterium. Its description in RNAcentral is "partial 16S ribosomal RNA". It matches the Rfam family "Bacterial small subunit ribosomal RNA", at positions 509 to 807 of the family's 1533-position model. The record is from RNAcentral.